GAUGAACGCUAGCUACAGGCUUAACACAUGCAAGUCGAGGGGCAGCGGGAUUGGAGCUUGCUUCAAUCGCCGGCGACCGGCGCACGGGUGAGUAACGCGUAUCCAACCUUCCGUUUACUCAGGGAUAGCCUUUCGAAAGAAAGAUUAAUACCUGAUGGCAUAGUUCUUCCGCAUGGUAGAACUAUUAAAGAAUUUCGGUUGUCGAUGGGGAUGCGUUCCAUUAGGCAGUUGGCGGGGUAACGGCCCACCAAACCUACGAUGGAUAGGGGUUCUGAGAGGAAGGUCCCCCACAUUGGAACUGAGACACGGCCCAGACUCCUACGGGAGGCAGCAGUGGGGAAUUUUGGACAAUGGGGGCAACCCUGAUCCAGCCAUGCCGCGUGCAGGAUGAAGGCCUUCGGGUUGUAAACUGCUUUUGUCAGGGACGAAAAGGAUCGUGAUAAUACCAUGGUCUGCUGACGGUACCUGAAGAAUAAGCACCGGCUAACUACGUG
This 494-nucleotide ribosomal RNA is filed under the name uncultured bacterium. RNAcentral describes it as "bacterial SSU rRNA". It matches the Rfam family "Bacterial small subunit ribosomal RNA", at positions 28 to 507 of the family's 1533-position model. The record is from RNAcentral.